GUGCCAGCCGCCGCGGUAAUACGUAGGUGGCAAGCGUUGUCCGGAUUUAUUGGGCGUAAAGCGAGCGCAGGCGGUUUCUUAAGUCUGAUGUGAAAGCCUUCGGCUCAACCGAAGAAGUGCAUCGGAAACUGGGAAACUUGAGUGCAGAAGAGGACAGUGGAACUCCAUGUGUAGCGGUGAAAUGCGUAGAUAUAUGGAAGAACACCAGUGGCGAAGGCGGCUGUCUGGUCUGUAACUGACGCUGAGGCUCGAAAGCAUGGGUAGCAAACAGGAUUAGAUACCCUGGUAGUCCAUGCCGUAAACGAUGAGUGCUAGGUGUUGGAGGGUUUCCGCCCUUCAGUGCCGCAGCUAACGCAUUAAGCACUCCGCCUGGGGAGUACGACCGCAAGGUUGAAACUCAAAGGAAUUGACGGGGGCCCGCACAAGCGGUGGAGCAUGUGGUUUAAUUCGAAGCAACGCGAAGAACCUUACCAGGUCUUGACAUCCUUUGACCACUCUAGAGAUAGAGCUUUCCCUUCGGGGACAAAGUGACAGGUGGUGCAUGGUUGUCGUCAGCUCGUGUCGUGAGAUGUUGGGUUAAGUCCCGCAACGAGCGCAACCCUUAUUACUAGUUGCCAGCAUUUAGUUGGGCACUCUAGUGAGACUGCCGGUGACAAACCGGAGGAAGGUGGGGACGACGUCAAAUCAUCAUGCCCCUUAUGACCUGGGCUACACACGUGCUACAAUGGAUGGUACAACGAGUUGCAAGACCGCGAGGUUUAGCUAAUCUCUUAAAACCAUUCUCAGUUCGGAUUGUAGGCUGCAACUCGCCUACAUGAAGCCGGAAUCGCUAGUAAUCGCGGAUCAGCAUGCCGCGGUGAAUACGUUCCCGGGCCUUGUACACACCGCCCGU
RNAcentral lists this ribosomal RNA (892 nucleotides) under uncultured bacterium. RNAcentral's name for it is "bacterial SSU rRNA". It matches the Rfam family "Bacterial small subunit ribosomal RNA", at positions 505 to 1397 of the family's 1533-position model. The record is from RNAcentral.